Molecule: unclassified non-coding RNA, 337 nt
Filed under: Hevea brasiliensis (rubber tree)
Lineage: Eukaryota; Viridiplantae; Streptophyta; Magnoliopsida; Malpighiales; Euphorbiaceae
Source: RNAcentral
CUGAGCUUUUUGAAGAUCCAUGUUAUGUUUCUGAUCCAAUAUCAUUACUUGGGCCUGUAUCAGAAUCACUUGAUAAUUUUCAGUUGGAUGUGGGGACUGGUUUUGCAUCAGACAUAGGAUUGGAAAGGCCUCAUGCAUUGAAGAAUACAUCUGCAUCUCCUGAAGCGAACAAGCCAUCUCCAAUUGAGUCUCCAUUGUCACGACUGCGAAUUGCUGAUGAAAAGCAUAAUGGUUCUAACUGGUUUUCAAAUACUCCUAAGGCUCAAGAUUCACACACUCUGCCUGUGGAUGAUGUGCAUGUGAAUGAGAAGGGAACAUGGCAAAUGUGGAACAGUUC